RNAcentral lists this ribosomal RNA (373 nucleotides) under uncultured organism. RNAcentral describes it as "bacterial SSU rRNA". It matches the Rfam family "Bacterial small subunit ribosomal RNA", at positions 526 to 896 of the family's 1533-position model. The record is from RNAcentral.
CGGGGGGAGCAAGCGUUGUUCGGAUUUACUGGGCGUAAGGGCGCGUAGGCGGCACUGCAAGUCGACUGUGAAAUCUCCGGGCUUAACCCGGAAAGGUCAGCCGAUACUGCGGGGCUAGAGUGCAGAAGGGGCAACUGGAAUUCUCGGUGUAGCGGUGAAAUGCGUAGAUAUCGAGAGGAACACCUGCGGCGAAGGCGGGUUGCUGGGCUGACACUGACGCUGAUGCGCGAAAGCUAGGGGAGCGAACGGGAUUAGAUACCCCGGUAGUCCUAGCCUUAAACGAUGAAUGCUUGGUGUCUGGGGGUUUUAUAGUCCCCGGGUGCCGUCGCUAACGCUUUAAGCAUUCCGCCUGGGGAGUACGGUCGCAAGACUG